CCCGGCGGCGGGGUCGGGGCUACCAGUACCUCGUCGACUGGGAGGGCUACGGCCCUGAAGAACGUUCCUGGGUCCCGGGAUCGUUCAUUGUGGAUAACACCCUCAUUAGGGAGUAUUGGGACUCUCAGCCCUCAUCCUCUGCUCGGCCGCCAGGUGGCGUCCGUUGAGGGGGGGGUACUGUCAGGGUCUGCAUUUUGUUUCCGUUUUAUUUUGGGUUUUUUUUGGUUUGAGUUUUUUUUUCCUGCCGUUGGGACUGGCAUUCCUCAUGACAUCCACCAGAGGUCGCCAACAGACAGAGCCCCUGGAAGGCUGCUGAGUUCAACCCGUUUACACACCUGCAGCUUGUUUUGGAGGGCGUGGAUUAUGGAUUUAAGCAGCAGCUCCUCUCCGUCUCAUCGCCUGAGUGUUUGCUUACUUCGGUAACAACUCGUUCCAGAACUAGGCUCUCUGUGAUCUGUUCCGCUCUAACCCUUUGUUGUCUUCCUCGUCAGAUAUCCUGCUGUUCUCUCGCGGUUCUGGCGAAGAGCAGUCCUCCCCGAGUUCAGUAUGCGCCUGUGCUCCCCUCGUUGUGGAUUCCCUACCUCCUGUGUCCUCCCUCGACGCUGUCGGUGCUACCGGUCAGAAGCCACCCCUCGUGUGUCCACCCUUUCCUCUCGUCGAUCCCUCUCUGGUGGAACCCCCCUCAUUCCAACAAGACGACCCGGUCAUCAGCACCAGGAGUCGCGUCCUGACCCCUCCCCUGACUUCAAUAAACUGAUUAUUGUGCACUU
Long non-coding RNA from Xiphophorus couchianus (Monterrey platyfish), 770 nucleotides. RefSeq lists it as uncharacterized. The transcript has 2 exons. NCBI's taxonomy places the organism in Eukaryota, Metazoa, Chordata, Actinopteri, Cyprinodontiformes, Poeciliidae. The record is from RefSeq and is a predicted model, not a curated record.